RNAcentral lists this ribosomal RNA (327 nucleotides) under uncultured bacterium. RNAcentral describes it as "bacterial SSU rRNA". It matches the Rfam family "Bacterial small subunit ribosomal RNA", at positions 28 to 334 of the family's 1533-position model. The record is from RNAcentral.
GACGAACGCUGGCGGCGUGCCUAACACAUGCAAGUCGAACGAAGUUCUUAUGGAAUGCGACUUCGGUCAAAUGAAGUUUGAACUUAGUGGCGGACGGGUGAGUAACGCGUGAGCAACCUGCCUUUCAGAGGGGGAUAACGUUUGGAAACGAACGCUAAUACCGCAUAACGUAUCGGAACCGCACGAUUCUGAUACCAAAGGAGCAAUCCGCUGAAAGAUGGGCUCGCGUCCGAUUAGGUAGUUGGUGGGGUAACGGCCUACCAAGCCGACGAUCGGUAGCCGGACUGAGAGGUUGAACGGCCACAUUGGGACUGAGACACGGCCCAG